GACCAAAGCAGGGGCUCUUCGGACCUUGCGCUAUCGGAGAACCCAUAUGGGAUUAGCUAGUAGGUGGGGUAAAGGCUCACCUAGGCGACGAUCUCUAGCUGGUCUGAGAGGAGAUCAGCCACACUGGGAUGAGACACGGCCCAGACUCCUACGGGAGGCAGCAGUGGGGAAUAUUGCACAAUGGGCGCAAGUCAGAUGCAGCCAUGCCGCGCGAUUGAAGAAGGCCUUAGGGUUGCAAAGUACUUUCAGCGGGGAGGAAGGUGAUAAGGU
Molecule: ribosomal RNA, 270 nt
Filed under: Proteus mirabilis
Lineage: Bacteria; Pseudomonadati; Pseudomonadota; Gammaproteobacteria; Enterobacterales; Morganellaceae
Description: partial 16S ribosomal RNA
Rfam family: Bacterial small subunit ribosomal RNA
Source: RNAcentral